AUACUAGGGAUUGGAUGUUCAAUCGAGUUCAAUCCUUGACCCGACUUGAACCAAAUCUAAAAUCAUGCUUGAUUACAAUCAAGAUAAUAAUUUAACCUUAGAUUAUAUAGAUUAAGAUAGGCUCUAAUACCACUAUUAGAUUUUGAUGGUGCAGCAAAAGGGUUAGGUGUUUAAAAUUUUCAUUCAAAAUACCCAAUACAUCGAAAAUCCUAAUACCCAGAAACCCUUGACUAUAUCAAUCAAAGUAUAAUAAAUAUAAAUUUAAAUCAGAAGAAUACCUAUAGUGCUAAUCUAAUUUUUAUGAGACAUCCAAGUAUCUACCCUUCAAUGGUGAUCCAUAUGAAAAUUGAACCAAGGACAACGCUCCUCCUUCACCUUAGUUUAAGAGUUCUAGCCUUUAGAACUCGACUAGCCACC
This 417-nucleotide long non-coding RNA is filed under the name Elaeis guineensis (African oil palm). Its description in RNAcentral is "long non-coding RNA (EGUI_LNC080592)". The record is from RNAcentral. Lineage: Eukaryota; Viridiplantae; Streptophyta; Magnoliopsida; Arecales; Arecaceae.